RNA transcript from Solanum pennellii, 2220 nucleotides. RefSeq lists it as uncharacterized. The transcript has 9 exons. Lineage: Eukaryota; Viridiplantae; Streptophyta; Magnoliopsida; Solanales; Solanaceae. The record is from RefSeq and is a predicted model, not a curated record.
AGUGUGAAUAGAGAAGAUUUUAAAAGUAUCCUCCAAUACCAUGGGUGUUGGAAUUUUGUGUAAUCCUAGUUGUAUUGUCAGCUUCCACAUUUGUUGUUAUACUUGUCAUAAUUAUUUCAGUUACUUCAAUUUGUCAGUUUCUUUGUUCAAUUUCACUACUCAAAAUGGACUCAUACCAAAAAAAAAAAAAAAAACUCCAACUUUGAUUCUUAAACAAGUGGAACAACUAAAUUGAUCAAAGAUUUCAACUUUUCUUCUUCUUGUUUGUUUUCCCCUCUUUUAGUUUUCUUGGACUAGAGGAAUGGUUAUCAGUGGUGUGAAAGCAUCUUCAGUAGCUAUGGUUUCUUUAGACAUUUGCAGCAGGUAUAAUUUUGAUGGUCGCGUUGGAUGUUGGAUUGGGAACGAGAAAGGAAAAUGGAACAAAUUGGCUGCUACUUCUGCAAGUACAAAGGCACCUAAAUUGGGAAUGAGCAUUUUACCUUUGGCUUCCUCUGCUGCUCUAGCAGAAACGCCAUGGUCCUCGCGAGCCAAAUUCUAUAAGGAGGUUUUGAAAGAUGCUAGGGAAAAGUUUACACAGGAGAUAUCGUUUCAGUCCAAGGACAAAGAUAUAUCCCUGGCAAAGGCUUUGCUCUAUGUUGCUUCUGAAGACGAGGCAUUUAUGGAUUUCAACCGGGAAAUGGAUUUUUAUUCACUCCAAAAUGAACGAACAUCUACUUCACUGCCAUCUGAUACACUAGACUGGAAAUGCGUGGAAGCCAUGCCUCUGGCUGGAAAGAAUAUGAGUGAAUGGAUGGCCGAGUUAGAUUCCAUUGCAAGAGAAGUUGAGGCGGAGCUAGUUCCGAGAGAUAUAGGAUGCCAUUUGGUUGAAAUUUUGGAUGCAGUGAACGUUGUUCUUUUUAAGUCGAGGGGUUUUAAAAGGUCAUCUGUGACAGUGGACUCAAAAUGUUCAUACCUGCAUUCAGUGUUAAGCUCUGGACAUUGUAGCGCAAUUUUGCUUAGCGUCAUUUACAUUGAAGUUUGUCGAAGACUUAAUCUAACCAUUGUGGGAUCUCGAAUUGGAGAAGAAUUCCUGAUAUGGCCUCAAACAGGAAACCCUGAGGAGCUAUUCAAGGUUACUUCUGGUCACAGCUUGUUUGGUAUUGUUAACGGGAAGUGCGUUGAUGACCCUAGAUCAAUGGCCUCGGACAUCAAUAGCAAUUCACUGUCAGAGCUUGAGAUUGCAACAAACCGAGAUAUUAUCGGAAUUGCUUUGGCUAAUCUCAUGAGGAUUCAUUGGAAACGUGCGUCAAGAGCAAAUCAUGGUUUGAUGCUGACUUCUCCACUUAGGUCUGUGGAUAAGUCUGACGAGAAGUUUAAGAAGACCGAUGCUUCAACUGUACCUUUGCUGCGGCCUCAAGAUUUGAGGUUCAAGAUGCUAAUAUGCACCAUUUGCCAUGAGAAAAGGAGAACCGCGAAUAAUUUUGGCUACAUACAUUAUUAUUCUCAUUGAUUCUAAUUACUUCCUAUGCUGCAAUAUUGCAUGAGUUUUAAUUCCUCCAUCUGGUUUUUUAGUUAGUCAAGCAUAAUCAGGUUCCCAAAUAUUUGGUUUCACAAAGUGCUUUCCAUAUCUAAACUCGCUGGUCUAUCCAAAUAUCUGUGUUGCUUGAACUCUCCAAAAAUGCCGUCACAUCUGUGUCUUAUUCUCCAAAACUGCACUACUUUUGGAGGAUCCAGCAUAUUCACCCGUUGAUAUUUCUUUGGUCUGCCAAAUAUGUCUAACUUGCACUAAUCUUUAGAUAUGAUUGUUGAGAAUGAAAUCUUUCGAGUUCUCAUCAGUGUUAUAUCCAUGUCCAUUUCUGCAUCCUCAAAUUUCGGUAGUUUGUUUUCAUCAAACAUGGGAUUACCUCGACUUGACAUUUGAUUAUAUGCAUUAUCUUUUUUAUCCGAAAUGUAGAAACAUGCUUGACAAUGUUCCUCAGGUGUUCGUUUUAUUAGUUUAGGCUAGUAAGAACUACUUUUUUUCAGUAGAAGUUUUGUGUGCAAUAUACUUCUCGCCUGUAAUGACUAUAUGUCUGGGAUGGUACCGACUUUCUAGGCUGGCUAUUAUGGCUUCGCAAAGAUUGCUGAUUCUGCAGCCACACAAUUGGGUUCUGAGGAGAGACCACGGCAUGAUGUUGUACUAUAGCAGGGAAUACGAGGAGGCGGUCCAGGAGCUUAGCAUUUGCAUGGUCUUUGCACCAG